AGGAUGAACGCUGGCGGCGUGCUUAAUACAUGCAAGUCGAACGAAGAGCCUUUGUAGCAAUACAGGGGUUUCUUAGUGGCGAACGGGUGCGUAACGCGUUGGUGACCUGCCUCAAAGUGUGGGAUAACAGUUCGAAAGGACUGCUAAUACCGCAUGUGGUCAUCGGGUUUAGAAGCCGAUGUCUAAAGCAGUAAUGCGCUUUGGGAGGGACCUGCGUCCCCAUCAGCUAGUUGGUGAGGUAACGGCCCACCAAGGCUACGACGGGUAGGGGACCUGAGAGGGUGGUCCCCCACACUGGCACUGAAACACGGGCCAGACACCUACGGGUGGCAGCAGUAGGGAAUAUUGGGCAAUGGGCGAAAGCCUGACCCAGCAACGCCGCGUGCACGAUGAAGGUCUUCGGAUCGUAAAGUGCCUUUCUGAGAGAUGAGAAAGGACAGUAUCUCAGGAAUAAGUCUCGGCUAACUACGUGCCAGCAGCCGCGGUAAAACGUAGGAGGCAAGCGUUAUCCGGAUUUACUGGGCGUAAAGCGCGUGCAGGUGGUUUGGUAAGUUGGAUGUGAAAGCUCCUGGCUCAACUGGGAGAGGUCGUUCAAUACUACCAGACUUGAGAGCAGUAGAGGGAGGUGGAAUUCCCGGUGUAGUGGUGAAAUGCGUAGAUAUCGGGAGGAACACCAGUGGCGAAAGCGGCCUCCUGGACUGUUUCUGACACUCAGACGCGAAAGCUAGGGUAGCAAACGGGAUUAGAGACCCCGGUAGUCCUAGCUGUAAACGAUGUGAACUUGGCGUCGGCGGGUUCAAAGCCGUCGGUGCCGAAGCUAACGCGAUAAGUUCACCGCCUGGGGACUACGGCCGCAAGGUUAAA
Molecule: ribosomal RNA, 864 nt
Filed under: uncultured bacterium
Lineage: Bacteria
Description: bacterial SSU rRNA
Rfam family: Bacterial small subunit ribosomal RNA
Source: RNAcentral